Long non-coding RNA from Saccostrea cuccullata (small rock oyster), 1048 nucleotides. RefSeq lists it as uncharacterized. The record is from RefSeq and is a predicted model, not a curated record. Lineage: Eukaryota; Metazoa; Mollusca; Bivalvia; Ostreida; Ostreidae. The transcript is spliced from 3 exons.
AAUAAAAAAUUAUAAUAUAAGCUACUACAUGCAUUUAUCAGUAUGUUUUAAUAAAAUAAAAUAUAUUUCAGCAAUGUAUUCUCAAGAAGGAAGAGAUUAAUGAACCCUCCCCUCUUACAAUGAACAACACAUGGACACUCUCAGGAUGGUCCCUUUGCUUUCAUUAAGAGUUCCAAGAUGUGUGUCUGAUUGACUGGGGUGUGAAAUGUAACAGCCAAUGGUGUACCUAAGCUAAGACUGUCAGUCCCAAUGUUCAAGAGGUGAGAUAAGCAAUGGAUAUGUGUUCUAAAAAUACUAAAUUGACCACUUUUUAUAAAUGUUUCUUUUACUCUAUAGGAAAAACCCCUACAUAAACAAACACAUGGGCGCAGACAUUUUGGACACCCAAGGUUGUGCGGAGGAGAAAAUGCUAGCUGGCGCGUGAUUGGUCAAUAAGAGAAAAGACUUGUUAUGUAUUUGACAAGUGAAAUAAAGUUGAUAAAAAUCUCAUAUCAAGACUUGGGUUUCUUUGAGAUAUAUAGGAGUUACAGGUAAAAAUUUGAAGGGAGGGGUGCCCUUUGGUUAGAGAUUUUCAUUUGGUGUCAAACGCACCUUGUUGUAAACAAAUGGAAAUUGAAAGUAAAAGUGCCGCGUGACGGUAUAUUUUUUCUGGCAUGUUUUGUUUUCCAAUAUCUCGAACUUUCACGACAAAAAGGCCAUUUGCCCGAAAUUCAAUAUAUGUAUGAGUGACAGGGGCUGAAGUUUGUAUGGAAGUCUAUGGAAAAACAUUUAGCGGUGUUUGUCCUAUAGAAUAGCAAUGUAUUCUCAAGAAGGAAGAGAUUAAUGAACCCUCCCCUCUUACAAUGAACAACACAUGGACACUCUCAGGAUGGUCCCUUUGCUUUCAUUAAGAGUUCCAAGGUAUGGUUUUCCUAGCCAAUCUAGUUAAUCUAUGAAUAUUUAAGUUAUUUAGAACUUUUUAUAGAUUAUUAGAAAAUAAAUUUCUUCAGAACUGCAGUUAUUUAAGCACUUUGCUUACAAUUGAGCACUGUAUUCAAUAAGACAAUAU